Molecule: ribosomal RNA, 591 nt
Filed under: Escherichia coli
Lineage: Bacteria; Pseudomonadati; Pseudomonadota; Gammaproteobacteria; Enterobacterales; Enterobacteriaceae
Description: partial 23S ribosomal RNA
Rfam family: Bacterial large subunit ribosomal RNA
Source: RNAcentral
ACAGUGUCUGGUGGGUAGUUUGACUGGGGCGGUCUCCUCCUAAAGAGUAACGGAGGAGCACGAAGGUUGGCUAAUCCUGGUCGGACAUCAGGAGGUUAGUGCAAUGGCAUAAGCCAGCUUGACUGCGAGCGUGACGGCGCGAGCAGGUGCGAAAGCAGGUCAUAGUGAUCCGGUGGUUCUGAAUGGAAGGGCCAUCGCUCAACGGAUAAAAGGUACUCCGGGGAUAACAGGCUGAUACCGCCCAAGAGUUCAUAUCGACGGCGGUGUUUGGCACCUCGAUGUCGGCUCAUCACAUCCUGGGGCUGAAGUAGGUCCCAAGGGUAUGGCUGUUCGCCAUUUAAAGUGGUACGCGAGCUGGGUUUAGAACGUCGUGAGACAGUUCGGUCCCUAUCUGCCGUGGGCGCUGGAGAAUUGAGGGGGGCUGCUCCUAGUACGAGAGGACCGGAGUGGACGCAUCACUGGUGUUCGGGUUGUCAUGCCAAUGGCACUGCCCGGUAGCUAAAUGCGGAAGAGAUAAGUGCUGAAAGCAUCUAAGCACGAAACUUGCCCCGAGAUGAGUUCUCCCUGACUCCUUGAGAGUCCUGAAGGAAC